GGCCUAACGGCUGAACAGCAACUUGCAGGAACGAGAGUUAAUAUAAAUGGUUUAUUAACUUGCUUGACUAGGUCUUAUAAAGUUCUGGACAAAGCUGAUAAUGACAACUUUUAAUCCAAAGGUCUCGACUAAAUCUUGUGCCAGCAGUCGCGGUAAGACAAGGGAGACGAGUGUUAUUCAUCUUUAACAGGUAUAUUGGGUACCUAGACGGUGUGCAAAGGCUGAUAUAAGUACCUAUUACACUUGAGUUUAAUAUGUGAGAGGAAGAUGUCAGAAUUGUUGGUGUAUGGGAUGAAAUCCGUUGAUACUAAUAGGACUGAUAAUGGCGAAGGCAAACCUCUAUGUAUAUGCACUUACUUAAGAACAUAAGAACAACAGUUAUCAUGAAAGUGAUAUGAAAAGUUAAAAAUAGCUUCUUUUUUAAGUAAAGUACUAAACUGACGUUGAGGGACGAAGGCUUAGAGAGUGAAGAGGAUUAGAUACCCCCGUAGCCUAGGCAGACAAUGAUGAGUGCCAUAGGUUGGCUUAUGGCUGAACUAUAAAUGAAAGUGGAAGCACUCCACCUCAAGAGUAAUGUGGCAACGCAGGAACUGAAAUCAUUAGACCGUUUCUGAAACCAGUAGUGAAGUAUGUUAUUUAAUUCGAUGAUCCGCGAAUAACCUUACCACAAU
RNAcentral lists this ribosomal RNA (671 nucleotides) under Lophiostoma macrostomum. RNAcentral describes it as "SSU rRNA". It matches the Rfam family "Bacterial small subunit ribosomal RNA", at positions 373 to 980 of the family's 1533-position model. Lineage: Eukaryota; Fungi; Ascomycota; Dothideomycetes; Pleosporales; Lophiostomataceae. The record is from RNAcentral.